Long non-coding RNA from Homo sapiens (human), 1269 nucleotides. Ensembl annotates it as long intergenic non-protein coding RNA 1435. NCBI's taxonomy places the organism in Eukaryota, Metazoa, Chordata, Mammalia, Primates, Hominidae. The record is from Ensembl.
UCAGAAAUGUUGGAGGAGCUUCAAUGAGUGAGAAACUGUGUUACCUGCAAAAGAUAAAAGCAAAACAGAAUGCAUUGAUGAAGAUAAUUCAAUCAGCAUGCACAGCAUAGAAUUGUUAUAGAUUGGGUAACUUCAUCAAGACUUCUCCAUGACUGAAGGUGGUAGAUUCUGAAGGAUUGGUUACUUGCACUACAGCAAAUUUACAACCAGCAAAAUAGACUAGAAACAAGCUACUUGUUGAUGAAGAGUGACAACAUGAGAAGUGACAAAUGAAGCAAUUGAUUUCAGGAAAAAAAGAAGACACAUAGAUAGCAAAAAGGCAUAGAUCAAAUAGCAAAAAGGCACCGAGUAUUAAAAUGAAAUUAAUACUCACCAUUUUAAAUGAAGCGCCCACAUAAAUAAGGAUGAGUAGAGUUGAACUACAGGAUCUGGACCAAGAUAGGAUUAGUGAAUAUCUCAAGAACAAUCAAGAAUGUAAGAAAAUAUCAUUGUCUGUUAAGACCCCAUCGCAGAGAAGUUAAAGAGCUUCAAUCACCAUGCUUUCAGGGUCAAUUUGUCUCCGAAAAGGAACAGAUGGGGAAGAAUUAUUCCAUUCACAGUUGACUUGUCAGAAAUUCCAAGAUCUUGGACUGGCUGAAAGCAAUGAUGUUGCCAUUCAUCCUUUCACGUAUUCAUUAUGGUCUACAGCUGAGAAGGGCUAUUUGGGGUUUGCUUUGCCUGAUGGUAGCAGAAGAAAACCAAGAGGCCUCUCUACGAAAGCUUGCAGUAAGGAGAAAGUUCUGGAGACUGGGAAGAGCAACACAAAGAUAUUCAGUUGCUUGGUGAGAGCUGCUCUCUGCUUCCAAGGCGGCACCUUGUUGCUGCAUUCUCCAAUGGGAAGGAACGCUGGGUCCUCACAUGACAGAAGGUGGAAAGGAUGUAAUGAAGUUAUUCCGAGAGUUAGCACCUCUGUAUGCUCAGGAUCUCUGUCCAGUGAAUCCCUUGCCAUUCUAAUGACUUGAUUCUGAGAAAUCUCCCCAGAAAAUUGUCAGCUUCCCAGACUGCUUCCACAUGACCUGUGACAGAUGUAAUUGGGCAUGGGCGACGCGAUGCCACAGUGUGACUUUUUGCAUCUUCAGAAAGAUACACAUAAACAGGAAGUCCUGGGAAGAGAAGAUGUUAGCUGUGUCUUUCUACCACCCAGAGGCUUCACCUCUAUCAUGCUUCUAAAAUAAAAUACCAGGUUGAUGUUCUGACCAUGGGCCAUAAACCAGGGUUAAGGAAGCCCAA